AAAACAUCUCCUUUUGACAUAUUUAAGGUACCGUCUGCUCAAUGCAAUUUGUAAAUAGCCGCAGUAUUCUGACUGUGCUAAGGUAGCAUAAUCAUUAGUCUUUUAAUUGGAGGCUGGUAUGAAUGACGAGACGAGAAAAUGACUGUCUCUAUAAUAAACUUUGAAUUUCAUUUCUGAGUGAAAAAGCUCAGAUAAUUUUGAAGGACGAUCAGACCCUUUGGAGCUUUAUUUACUUUAAAAAUUUGAAUUUGUUUUAAUUGAUUGAAUGGAAAGUAAAUUUUGUUGGGGCGACAGGGAGUAAAAUAUAACACUCUUUUUUUAAAACAAUCCUAAUUGGAAAAUUGAUCCUUAGAGUGAGAUUACAAGACUAAGUUACCCUAGGGAUAACAGCGUAAUCUUAAGGAGAGUUCAAAUCGAUAAAAAGGCCGGACCUCGCCU
Molecule: ribosomal RNA, 438 nt
Filed under: Daphnia magna
Lineage: Eukaryota; Metazoa; Arthropoda; Branchiopoda; Diplostraca; Daphniidae
Description: partial 16S ribosomal RNA
Rfam family: Bacterial large subunit ribosomal RNA
Source: RNAcentral